UACAGAGGUCUCAAGCGUUGUUCGGAUUCAUUGGGCGUAAAGGGUGCGUAGGUGGCGCUGUAAGUCGGGUGUGAAAUCUUGGAGCUUAACUCCGAAACUGCAUUCGAUACUGCCGUGCUUGAGGACUGGAGAGGAGACUGGAAUUUACGGUGUAGCGGUGAAAUGCGUAGAUAUCGGGAGGAACACCGGUGGCGAAGGCGGUUCUCUGGGCCUUACCUGACGCUGAGGAGCGAAAGCGUGGGGAGCGAACAGG
RNAcentral lists this ribosomal RNA (253 nucleotides) under uncultured bacterium. RNAcentral describes it as "partial 16S ribosomal RNA". It matches the Rfam family "Bacterial small subunit ribosomal RNA", at positions 524 to 776 of the family's 1533-position model. The record is from RNAcentral.